Acanthosepion pharaonis is the source of this 113-nucleotide non-coding RNA. Lineage: Eukaryota; Metazoa; Mollusca; Cephalopoda; Sepiida; Sepiidae. The record is from the annotation of a GenBank genome assembly.
UUGCAGCCAUAUAAUGUUGAAACACCGGUUCUCAUAUGGUCACUGAAGUUAAGCAACAGCAAUCCUGGUCUGUACCUAGAUGGGUGACCACUUGGAAUACUAUGUGCUGUAAG